CGGAGGAACAUGUCAGAAGAUUGGACGUCGGGCCAGUAGAUCGGUUGACAUAUCGACAGAAGGCUUCGGGCAGUGGACUCGGGCAUCGGGCCAAGAAGAGCGGUUAUUGUGCCAAGGAUAUCGGAGUUGUGGAGUCAACUGGCCGAUUGGGCAAUAGGCCGCAGGAGAGGACGAUGCGCCGAAGAAUCAGACGAAGCGUCGA
Molecule: long non-coding RNA, 202 nt
Filed under: Musa acuminata (dwarf banana)
Lineage: Eukaryota; Viridiplantae; Streptophyta; Magnoliopsida; Zingiberales; Musaceae
Description: long non-coding RNA (MACU_LNC005316)
Source: RNAcentral